CCUACGGGGGGCAGCAGUGGGGAAUAUUGCACAAUGGGCGCAAGCCUGAUGCAGCCAUGCCGCGUGUGUGAAGAAGGCCUUCGGGUUGUAAAGCACUUUCAGCGGGGAGGAAGGCGUUAAGGUUAAUAACCUUGUCGAUUGACGUUACCCGCAGAAGAAGCACCGGCUAACUCCGCGCCAACAGCCGCGGUAAUAUGGAGGGUGCAAGCGUUAAUCGGAAUUACUGGGCGUAAAGCGCACGCAGGCGGUCUGUCAAGUCGGAUGUGAAAUCCCCGGGCUCAACCUGGGAACUGCAUUCGAAACUGGCAGGCUAGAGUCUUGUAGAGGGGGGUAGAAUUCCAGGUGUAGCGGUGAAAUGCGUAGAGAUCUGGAGGAAUACCGGUGGCGAAGGCGGCCCCCUGGACAAAGACUGACGCUCAGGUGCGAAAGCGUGGGGAGCAAACAGGAUUAGAUACCCGAGUAGUC
This 465-nucleotide ribosomal RNA is filed under the name uncultured Klebsiella sp. Its description in RNAcentral is "bacterial SSU rRNA". It matches the Rfam family "Bacterial small subunit ribosomal RNA", at positions 338 to 795 of the family's 1533-position model. Lineage: Bacteria; Pseudomonadati; Pseudomonadota; Gammaproteobacteria; Enterobacterales; Enterobacteriaceae. The record is from RNAcentral.